CGAUAAACAAGCUUGUGGUUGUGUGUGUGUAUGCAUUUGUGCGAAUGCACGAGCUAUAAUAAUAGAGUAGGUUGGUAAAAAGCUAAUAAAACUGACAAAGAUUAUUCCUGGCAUAAGAAGAAGAAGAAAA
Molecule: long non-coding RNA, 130 nt
Filed under: Polistes fuscatus (common paper wasp)
Lineage: Eukaryota; Metazoa; Arthropoda; Insecta; Hymenoptera; Vespidae
Description: uncharacterized LOC122514177
Source: RNAcentral